AACGAACGCUGGCGGCAUGCCUAACACAUGCAAGUCGAACGAAGGCUUCGGCCUUAGUGGCGCACGGGUGCGUAACGCGUGGGAACCUGCCCCUCGGUUCGGAAUAACAGUUAGAAAUGACUGCUAAUACCGGAUGAUGACUUCGGUCCAAAGAUUUAUCGCCGAGGGAUGGGCCCGNGUAGGAUUAGCUUGUUGGUGGGGUAAAGCCUACCAAGGCGACGAUCCUUAGCUGGUCUGAGAGGAUGAUCAGCCACACUGGGACUGAGACACGGCCCAGACUCCUACGGGAGGCAGCAGGUGGGGAAUAUUGGACAAUGGGCGAAAGCCUGAUCCAGCAAUGCCGCGUGAGUGAUGAAGG
This 358-nucleotide ribosomal RNA is filed under the name uncultured bacterium. RNAcentral describes it as "bacterial SSU rRNA". It matches the Rfam family "Bacterial small subunit ribosomal RNA", at positions 29 to 414 of the family's 1533-position model. The record is from RNAcentral.